CCUACGGGCGGCAGCAGUGAGGAAUAUUGGUCAAUGGACGGAAGUCUGAACCAGCCAUGCCGCGUGCAGGAAGACGGCUCUAUGAGUUGUAAACUGCUUUUGUACAAGGGUAAACCUGAAUACGUGUAUUCUGCUGAAAGUACUGUACGAAUAAGGAUCGGCUAACUCGGUGCCAGCAGCCGCGGUAAUACGGAGGAUCCAAGCGUUAUCCGGAUUUAUUGGGUUUAAAGGGUGCGUAGGCGGAUUGAUAAGUUAGAGGUGAAAUGUCCGAGCUUAACUCGGGAACUGCCUGUAAUACUGGUGAUCUAGAGAGUAGAUGCGGUAGGCGGAAUGUAUGGUGUAGCGGGGAAAUGCUUAGAGAUCAUACAGAACACCGAUUGCGAAGGCAGCUUACCAAUCUAUAUCUGACGUUGAGGCACGAAAGCGUGGGGAGCAAACAGGAUUAGAUACCCGUGUAGUC
This 460-nucleotide ribosomal RNA is filed under the name uncultured bacterium. Its description in RNAcentral is "partial 16S ribosomal RNA". It matches the Rfam family "Bacterial small subunit ribosomal RNA", at positions 338 to 795 of the family's 1533-position model. The record is from RNAcentral.